Molecule: long non-coding RNA, 173 nt
Organism: Oreochromis aureus
Lineage: Eukaryota; Metazoa; Chordata; Actinopteri; Cichliformes; Cichlidae
Exons: 3
Source: RefSeq, a predicted model, not a curated record
GUCUGGGGCAUUCUGGUGUUUUAACACGCUGCCAAAAUCUUCCAAGAAGAAGACCUUCCAGCAAAUUCACCUCAAGACGGUGCUCGCAAGAUGUACUAAUCUCAAAGACUGUGUGGAAGGGAAAGCAGUACCCAGAGAAAACCCACCAAGCACCGGGAGGACAAAGACCCCCA